UACGUAGGGUGCAAGCGUUUUCCGGAAUUAUUGGGCGUAAAGAGCUCGUAGGCGGUUUGUUGCGUCGGCUGUGAAAUCCCGAGGCUCAACCUCGGGUCUGCAGUCGAUACGAGCAAACUAGAGUGUUGCAGGGGAGACUGGAAUUCCUGGUGUAGCGGUGAAAUGCGCAGAUAUCAGGAGGAACACCGGUGGCGAAGGCGGGUCUCUGGGCAACAACUGACGCUGAGGAGCGAAAGCGUGGGGAGCGAACAGG
RNAcentral lists this ribosomal RNA (253 nucleotides) under uncultured bacterium. Its description in RNAcentral is "partial 16S ribosomal RNA". It matches the Rfam family "Bacterial small subunit ribosomal RNA", at positions 524 to 776 of the family's 1533-position model. The record is from RNAcentral.